This 483-nucleotide ribosomal RNA is filed under the name uncultured bacterium. RNAcentral's name for it is "partial 16S ribosomal RNA". It matches the Rfam family "Bacterial small subunit ribosomal RNA", at positions 899 to 1397 of the family's 1533-position model. The record is from RNAcentral.
ACUCAAAUGAAUUGACGGGGACCCGCACAAGCGGUGGAGUGUGUUCUUUAAUUCGAUGGUAAGCGAAGAACCUUACCCAGGUUUGACAUCCUUGGAAUUUCUCCGAAAGGAGAAAGUGCUUUUAGAGCCAAGUGACAGGUGUUGCAUGGCCGUCGUCAGCUCGUGUCGUGAGAUGUUUGGUUAAGUCCAUCAACGAGCGCAACCCUUGUGAAUAGUUGAAUUUUUCUAUUCAGACUGCCCUGGUAACAGGGAGGAAGGGGGGGAUGAUGUCAGGUCAGUAUUACCCUUACAUCUGGGGCUAGAAACACACUACAAUGGCCGGUACAAAGGGCAGCCAAGUCGCGAGACGGAGCAAAUCCCAUCAAAGCCGGUCUCAGUUCGGAUAGCAGGCUGAAACUCGCCUGCUUGAAGCUGGAAUCGCUAGUAACGGUAGGUCAGCAUACUACCGUGAAUACGUUCCCGGGUCUUGUACACACCGCCCGU